AUUGAACGCUGGCGGCAGGCCUAACACAUGCAAGUCGAGCGGGUGAAGGUAUCUUGCUCCUGGAUUCAGCGGCUGACGGGUAAGUAAUUCCUAGGAAGCGGCCUGGUAGUGGUGGAUAACGUCCGGAAAAGGGCGCUAAUACCGCAGAAAACCGAAGGAAGAGAGUGAGGGAGCUUCUGACCUCACGCUAUCAGAUGAUCCUAGGUCGGAUUAGCAAGUUGGUGAGGUAAAGGCAUACCAAGGCGACGAUCCGUAACUGUGCUGAGCGGAUAACCAGUGACACUGGAACUGAGACACGGUCCAGACUCCUACGGGAGGAAGGAGUGGGGAAUAUUGGACGAUGGGCGAAAGCAUGAUCCAGCCAUGCCGCGUGUGUGAAGAAGGUAUUCGGAUUGUAAAGCACUUUACGUUGGGAGGAAGAGCAGUAAGUUCAUAACUUGAUGCUUUGACGUUACCAACAGAAUAAGCACCGGCUAACUCCGUG
RNAcentral lists this ribosomal RNA (484 nucleotides) under uncultured bacterium. RNAcentral describes it as "partial 16S ribosomal RNA". It matches the Rfam family "Bacterial small subunit ribosomal RNA", at positions 30 to 507 of the family's 1533-position model. The record is from RNAcentral.